AGGGGGAGCAAUCCCUGAGUAAAGUGGCGACCGGGUGAGUAACACGUGACUAACCUACCCUCGAGUGUGGAAUAACAUCGGGAAACCGAUGCUAAUACCGCAUAACAUCGCAAGAUCAAAGGAGCAAUCCGCUUGAGGAGGGGGUCGCGGCUGAUUAGCUAGUUGGCGGGGUAACGGCCCACCAAGGCGAAGAUCGGUAGCCGGCCUGAGAGGGCGCACGGCCACACUGGAACUGAAACACGGUCCAGACUCCUACGGGAGGCAGCAGUGGGGAAUUUUGCGCAAUGGGGGAAACCCUGACGCAGCAACGCCGCGUGGAGGAUGAAGCCCCUUGGG
RNAcentral lists this ribosomal RNA (336 nucleotides) under uncultured bacterium. RNAcentral describes it as "bacterial SSU rRNA". It matches the Rfam family "Bacterial small subunit ribosomal RNA", at positions 72 to 422 of the family's 1533-position model. The record is from RNAcentral.